UACGUAGGUGGCAAGCGUUGUCCGGAAUUAUUGGGCAUAAAGCGCGCGCAGGCGGUUCUUUUAAGUCUGAUGUGAAAGCCCACGGCUCAACCGUGGAGGGUCAUUGGAAACUGGAGAACUUGAGUACAGAAGAGGAAAGCGGAAUUCCACGUGUAGCGGUGAAAUGCGUAGAGAUGUGGAGGAACACCAGUGGCGAAGGCGGCUUUCUGGUCUGUAACUGACGCUGAGGCGCGAAAGCGUGGGGAGCAAACAGG
This 254-nucleotide ribosomal RNA is filed under the name uncultured bacterium. RNAcentral describes it as "partial 16S ribosomal RNA". It matches the Rfam family "Bacterial small subunit ribosomal RNA", at positions 524 to 776 of the family's 1533-position model. The record is from RNAcentral.